RNAcentral lists this long non-coding RNA (751 nucleotides) under Mytilus galloprovincialis (Mediterranean mussel). The record is from RNAcentral. Lineage: Eukaryota; Metazoa; Mollusca; Bivalvia; Mytilida; Mytilidae.
AAAUGACAGUUUAAUUUCUGUCCGCAUCCAAAAAUUUCUCAUUGUGGUGGCGAUAUUUAAAAUAUUCCCAUCGGUUUUCCCGAUCGAUCCCCUAUUGCAGAGCCUACCAGUAUUUACUGUUAACUUUUUUUUCUCACUGAAUUUGGUUUUAAAUCUACCAUGAUAAACGAGUGUGGUCUUAAAUUAAGUUUUUUAUCAGAAGGUGUAUUUGUGACAAUAAAAAAACAUGUUGAAAUGUAAUGUUUAGUUUUCUCACUAAUGUAAUUUUGGUUUAAAAACUGGUUCAGUUUGGAUAAAUUUGAACAAAUAGCCAGAGUGUUGCACACAAUGGCGUUAAUUCGUGUACCAGCCUUUUUUCAUAUUGUUCUGUUAGACAACGACGAAGAUGAUUUUCUCUGUAUGCAAUAGCUAUAUUUGGUUAUAAGAACAUUUGUCAGUGUAAAGUAAAGGUUAAAGCACAGAUCCAACGUUCCUGAAAUUUGCUGAAUCUAUGGUGCAACAUUACAAUAUUGAAGAAUUUAGAAGUAGUUUAAGAUUAGGGAGACAUUUCAAGCAUUGGUAGAACAAUUGGUGGAGCAGAUUUGCAUUUUGUAGAUUUGUUUUGUGAAUGGCCUGGCUCGGUACAUAAAUUAAGAGUCAUAACAAAACUUCCCUAACAAGUCCUGAGUAAUGACGAUGGAAAUCUUAGCAGAAAUCUGAGCAAGUAUAAACCCUUGGGGUAGCGAUUGAGCGUACAUUUGCAGCAUUAGAG